GCUGCGCAGAGAGGGAGAGCUGCGCAGCGCUCCUUCAGCAACGCGCCUGUCCUGCGAAGCUAGAGGAGGAACAGAAGGGGCUCCUUCUGUUCCUCCACCCGCUUCGCUGAAGGGGUGCUGCGCAGCUCUCGCUCUCUGCGCAGC
Molecule: non-coding RNA, 144 nt
Organism: Podarcis lilfordi (Lilford's wall lizard)
Lineage: Eukaryota; Metazoa; Chordata; Lepidosauria; Squamata; Lacertidae
Source: the annotation of a GenBank genome assembly